This 319-nucleotide long non-coding RNA is filed under the name Chloebia gouldiae (Gouldian finch). RNAcentral describes it as "Erythrura gouldiae (Gouldian finch) lncRNA (ENSEGOG00005010830.1)". Lineage: Eukaryota; Metazoa; Chordata; Aves; Passeriformes; Passeridae. The record is from RNAcentral.
CUGACAGCCCGGCUCGCCACCCUCGAGGCACAGGUGGCCCGGCUGGCGGUGGCCGAGCCCCCCAUGCCAGCAGCACCCAAAGGCAGCAGCCCGGGCAGGGGGCCGGAGGCCGGGCAGCUCUGGGGGUCCCCGGCCGCCCGUGGGAGCCCCGGGGAUGACGGGAGACCCGGCUGGAGGGGACCCCCCGGCCCCAAGGGCGAUGCGGGAGGACGGGGACCCUCAGGAAUUCCUGGAGUGAAGGGUCCAGUGGGGCCACCAGGUAAGGGGGGGACAGUGUGGGGGGGACCCCAGACUGGUGCCUGGCCCAGCCGAGCCCCCC